This 226-nucleotide ribosomal RNA is filed under the name uncultured bacterium. RNAcentral describes it as "partial 16S ribosomal RNA". It matches the Rfam family "Bacterial small subunit ribosomal RNA", at positions 524 to 748 of the family's 1533-position model. The record is from RNAcentral.
UACGGGGGGAGCAAGCGUUGUUCGGAUUUACUGGGCGUAAAGGGCGCGUAGGCGGUCGUGACAAGUCACUUGUGAAAUCUCCGGGCUUAACUCGGAACGGUCAAGUGAUACUGUCGGACUAGAGUACAGAAGGGGCAACUGGAAUUCUCGGUGUAGCGGUGAAAUGCGUAGAUAUCUGGAGGAACACCGGUGGCGAAGGCGACAUCCUGGACCGGUAUUGACGCUG